UUUACAUGUUACGGCCUUGUUAUCAUUCGUUCGGUGACACUUGAACAGAAAUGUAGUAGUGUGCAAGACGUUCCGUCAAAUUCCUUUCUAAACGCGAUCGUGACAAGUAUCGAGAAAUGUGUGCAGUGAGCAGCGAGCAGUGAGCAGUGAGCAAGCUGUCACCGUUGCCCCAAAUACAUGGUGGCACGUGCGCCUGCAAGAUCAUCGCUCGGAAGGGCUGCAACUUAGGGGGUUGCGUACUCGUAUCGAAAGGUCCUACAGAUGAUCGGGAUGCAGCAGCAGGCCGGACAUUGAGCAGCCUAAUCUCUAUGACAAACACUUGACUGGCAAAGCUAGCAGGCCACCCUUGACGUCGUUGUUAAUGUCGCCGGGGAGAGGGGGAGAUGACGCACAGGGGGUGGCAUCAGGCGUGGCAUGAUGGCUCUGACAGCCGCAGAUGGCACUUGCCGGCUUGUUUGUCAUAAAAUCCCCCCCGGGUUCGGAGUCGCCAUCACUGUCGACCAUAGCUGGCUCGCACGAGCACCCUUGUGGACUAUAGUCCUCGCACGGACGAUGAAACGGGGGCGAGAAAAAUGUCGCUGUAAUCGCGUGGGCGAGCCGAGUUUGCGCGACUCUUUUUUCCGCAUUUCUUAUCGCGCGUAAUUAUGUGACAUAUGUGCGCGCCACCGCGCACGACCGAUAGCGAGCGAGGACCGCAAGAAGGUUUUCGCGUGGGCAACGUUUACGUCAAUGUUUAGAUGAAAAACAAUGCCUCGACUCAUCCUGCGAUCUACCUCGCGCGCAACCCGCGCUACCGAUAAACAAAAAUACAACAUUCGG
This is an RNA transcript of Cataglyphis hispanica, 819 nucleotides long. RefSeq lists it as uncharacterized. Lineage: Eukaryota; Metazoa; Arthropoda; Insecta; Hymenoptera; Formicidae. The transcript has 2 exons. The record is from RefSeq and is a predicted model, not a curated record.